GACGAACGCUGGCGGCGUGCUUAACACAUGCAAGUCGAACGGAAAGGCUCCAGCUUGCUGGAGUACUCGAGUGGCGAACGGGUGAGUAACACGUGGGUAAUCUGCCCUGCACUCUGGGAUAAGCCUGGGAAACUGGGCCUAAUACUGGAUAUGACCUUUCUCCUUAUGGGGUUUGGUGGAAAGUUUUUCGGUGUAGGAUGAGCCCGCGGCCUAUCAGCUUGUUGGUGGGGUGAUGGCCUACCAAGGCGACGACGGGUAGCCGGCCUGAGAGGGUGAUCGGCCACAUUGGGACUGAGAUACGGCCCAGACUCCUACGGGAGGCAGCAGUGGGGAAUAUUGCACAAUGGGCGGAAGCCUGAUGCAGCGACGCCGCGUGAGGGAUGACGGCCUUCGGGUUGUAAACCGCUUUCAGCAGGGACGAAGCGUAAGUGACGGUACCUGCAGAAGAAGCACCGGCUAACUAUGUG
Molecule: ribosomal RNA, 467 nt
Filed under: uncultured bacterium
Lineage: Bacteria
Description: partial 16S ribosomal RNA
Rfam family: Bacterial small subunit ribosomal RNA
Source: RNAcentral